This 2018-nucleotide long non-coding RNA is filed under the name Heterocephalus glaber (naked mole-rat). Its description in RNAcentral is "lncRNA (ENSHGLG00100045551.1)". The record is from RNAcentral. Lineage: Eukaryota; Metazoa; Chordata; Mammalia; Rodentia; Bathyergidae.
CGGAGGAAGGGAGGAGAGCAUCCGGGCACUUAGCAAGGAGACACAAAGCUGCGUUCAGCUAGGUGCCCGGGCGAGUCGUGGGGAGACUGAGAAGGGGCUUGAGGACGGUUCCGGACUCUGGGUGGCUGACGCUAUGUCGGAUGGGCUUCUCCUCUCCUUACACUGGGGCCGUUUAGGGAGGUGCUGGGCUCGGGGUGGGGCUUAGAUGAAAUCUCUUCUUGCUACGCCUCUCCCUGCUCAAGUUCCCACCCUUUUCCUAGAGCAGAAGUUUCAGAUGUAAGGUGACUCGGUUUUUAGGGUCGGGCUUUUGAACCCUUAAGGAGACAGCGGGGCUUUACACGAAGCUGGGGACAGGAAACGGCUCUAGUCUAGCUUCUCUGAUCUCCGAGGGCCUCGGAGAACUUUUAAGCGGCUGCUCGAGCUGCUCUUCUUGGGCCCUUUUUUGGAGCAGAAGUGAGUCCGGUGCUGGGACCCAGGCAUCUCGCUCUGCCCGGCCCGGGGAAGGGUCGUGGCUGGCGAAGAGUCUGUGGCCAGGAGCCCGGGAGGAAAGAAGGUGUCAGGAAAAUACAGUACACUGCUUUCCCAUCGCUUUCAAUUUGGUUCUGUUUGAAGGCUUGUGAUGUGUCUGGCGGAUGGCGAAAGAGCUCGUCACUGUUUUGCGCCUGGUUUUGAAUUAUGUCCUUUGGUUUAAAAAGGGAUAUGUUGUCCCUUUAAGAUAAAGUCGAAAUUUUACCUUGGUGCUAGAGAGUUAACCAAAUAGAAAAAUAGGAAGCCUACAUUCCAAAGUGUUAUUUGAAGGACUUUAGACCCAGUUACAAAGUUAAAAAAAAAAAAUCUUUACACAUCCUUAGUUUGAGGCAAACAAGUAUGCCAGAAUAAAGUCUGGGAGCUUGUUCAGUUCCACAAAUAUUUUUAUGCUCUACUGUGUUCCUAACGCUGGAAUUUGUCCGGUGGUCCCAAUUAUGAAUAAGUUGGAUCCAAUUCUACCGUCAUAGGAAUUUUCAUUCUAGUAAGUCAGCGAAGCAAGCAGUUAUUACACAUUUACAAUUUUUCGUGCGUUCAUCAGAAUAAGAGCAAGCCUUGUGAAAGAACAGGGCACAGAACAGUAUUGGGAUGAAGUCAAAAUGGCAAAAACAAGAAAUGGGAGGCUAGGAAAAUGGGUUGUCUGGGGGUUCACUGGACACUUAGAAGACAGAGGAUAACUGGAAGGAAUCCAAAAAAAAAAGAAAGGAUUUGAAAACAAAUAGACAUCUACCAGAUGAUCAAUGAGGGAUCUCUCAAACCUAUUAUUUCUGAGCAUAAGGGACAGAACCAUUCUGAGCCACCCAGAAGCUGCCUCUCAUGCCUCAUCCCAUCAAGCACAUCCUGCCUUUCUUCAUGGACCCGACAUCAGAAUGUACCUGAGUAGUCACGACAGCUUCUGAAAUCUGUCACCAAAGGAGCGUAAUGGACUCAGAAACUCCUGCCAGAACUCUGCUCUCCACUGCUCUGCUCUGUGUAAAUCCUGCUUGCUAUAUUCCCAGGGAAACUCCAAUGGAAUUAAACUUCGUAGAUGUAAAAAGAUGUAUAUAAAGAAGCAAGCUUGGCCGGGGAUUUAGCUCAGCGGUUUCGCCGCCUGCUGCGCAAGCGCAAGGACCCGAGUUCCGUCCCCGGUACAAAAAAAACAACAACAAAAAACAAAACAAAGAAGUGCAAACUUCUACUCGGGGCUCUUGAGACUGACAGGAGUCACCAGCUGACCCGCCCACGUUAAAAGCCGCUUUUUGCUCCUAUCUUCGUGUUAAGAGUGGCCUGUUUGGAGUCCUCACAGUUUCCUGCUUCACUCCUGCCUGGCCAAGAGGUGGCACUUUCCCUGCCACGUCCUACAGGUCCCUUCAGCCUUCCGGCUACUGGACUCUGCUCUCCCUCUACCUGCCUGUGUAAGGACACAAGACACAUGCACUGGGAAGCCUGGGGCAGAGGGGACCUCUGUCAAUGAUGCCAUGAGAGAUGGCAUUGCAUAGGCCAAUGACGGUGAC